Small nucleolar RNA from Corchorus capsularis, 107 nucleotides. It matches the Rfam family "Plant small nucleolar RNA R71". From Rfam's summary of the family: R71 is a member of the C/D box family of snoRNAs containing the C (UGAUGA) and D (CUGA) box motifs. Multiple nearly identical copies of this snoRNA have been identified in Arabidopsis, and it is thought to function as a 2'-O-ribose methylation guide for 18S ribosomal RNA. Lineage: Eukaryota; Viridiplantae; Streptophyta; Magnoliopsida; Malvales; Malvaceae. The record is from Rfam.
AUGCCAUGGUGAGGACAAUCGGCGCAAAGCAUCUUGCAUCUAUCCCAUGCUUGGUAGAAAUUUUCAUCUUUUUCUUGUUGAAAGGCGGCAAUCCUUUGUCUUCCUUU